ACAGAGAGUCAGUUAGGAAAAGUCCCACGUUGGUGGGCCAGUGAGCUAGAGUUUUAGUAAUCCUUAUAAAAGUACAGGGAGACAUGGGGCAGCCCCAGUGGCGUAGUGGUGGGGUUCGUGCACUUUGGCGGCCCAGGGUUCACAGUUUUGGAUCCUGAGUGUGGACCUAGCACUGCUCGUCAAGCCAUGCUGUGGUGGCAUCCCACACAAAAUAGACGAAAAUUGGCACUGAUGUUGGCUCAGCAACAAUCUUCCUCAAGUGAAAAGAGGAAGAUUGGCAACAGAUGUUAGCUCAGGGCCAAUCUUCCUCACAAAAUAACAAAAGAAAGAAAGAAAAAGAAAAAGAGAAGUACAGGGAGACAAAUAACUAUGUACCAUGAGGAGUUGCCUGGUUUAGGACUGUUAUGGAGCAGAGGGAAGAGAGUUAAAGAACUCUGAUGCUUUCAUGUUUUCCCCUGAGUUUUGAUGUCUGACCUGCCUUGUUCCAAUUCCGAGGUCGGCCCGCCGGGUGGUACUACAACAAGUACUAAUUAGAAAAGCCCUUUCCACCUUCUCCGCCAUCUUUCCCGCAUCCUGGAGCAGUUCUUCACAGAACUGCAGCAGGGCUCCCAGCCAGGAGGAAAUUGAGGACAUUUUCCUUAGAAUUACGUGCUGUUCACGUUUUUCUAGUUCCUACCCUGGGAAGGAUGGUUCGGUUAGCUUUAUGAGGGGUUUUUCAAAUUCAGCUAUUAUUUCUGCAGCAGCCACUGACUGAUGUCUGUCAAGGGCUGAACAGGCUGCCGUCUGACCUCACCACUCCCCACGUUCUGCAUGAGGAAGCCUUGCCACGCUGAAAUGCCCCACACCGUGCCCUGAAUCAAACCCGUCCCUCUCGGCAAGCGAUGCUUAAUAACAAUUAGAAGCAGAAGGAAAGAAGGUUUUCAGCUGAGAAGUUCUACUGGCAGUAAAAUGGAGAACAGAGAAGGAGCUCUUAAAAAAUUUUGAGAUAAUUGCCUGAGUAAAUAUGAAAAGCAACAUUUAAUAUUUAUCUAACUUUCUCUGCAGGCUGAGAAGGCAAGACAGGUCUUCCGAGCACAAUAUACAAUAAAAGUAAAGCAGGAUAAAAGAAGGAUCCAGCUGACCGAGGCAAUGUUGCUUUUCCAUGUCUAAGAAUACGGAACUGGGGAUUUUCAGUCAAGUUAUGGAUUGUUAGGGUCCUAGAGAACAGAGAAUAGAAAGAGAGAAUAUGGCAUGCAGAUAGCUCAGCGAUAUCCAUCCGGGCUGAUGCAGAUUUUCAUUUGGGAGAAGUAGUUUUAUUGACUAAGUGUUUCAGCGCCCUUUCCAAUGUUUUCCCAGGAGCAAGCAGGAUGAGUUGGCUUAUAUUAUAGCCCAUGAGGCGGAGCACAGCCGCUCAAAUGAUGGUGAGCCAUAAACAGAGGCCACAGCUGUUCUCCAGGCUAACUGAAGGAUUGCCUCAUCAGAGAAAGUAUCACAUAACUUUGUA
This 1483-nucleotide long non-coding RNA is filed under the name Equus caballus (horse). RNAcentral describes it as "lncRNA (ENSECAG00000057700.1)". Lineage: Eukaryota; Metazoa; Chordata; Mammalia; Perissodactyla; Equidae. The record is from RNAcentral.